Schizosaccharomyces pombe (fission yeast) is the source of this 1231-nucleotide non-coding RNA. The record is from the annotation of a GenBank genome assembly. NCBI's taxonomy places the organism in Eukaryota, Fungi, Ascomycota, Schizosaccharomycetes, Schizosaccharomycetales, Schizosaccharomycetaceae.
AGGAGGAGCAACACUUGGGUUGUACAUGCCGUUUUGAGGAUAUGGCAUUUGAGGUACAAGGGAAGGUUGCAUAACAGGAUUGGGUAUAGCUUGCGAAGGAUGUACCAUAUUAGGAGCAGCUAAUCCAGCAAAAUCAGUUGUAGUGCUAGGGAUGUUUGGUUGACCAAAAGUAACAUUACCAAUACUAGCCGCACUAAUCGCCGGGUCCAAUGAAGAGAUGUUUUCUCGAGUUACUUGAGCAGCCAUUUCGGAUGGAACAAUGGGAAUAGCGGGUUGAGAAGGUGGUUUUGGAGCGGUCAUUGAGUUCAAUAACUGUUCCUCCAACUCCUGCAAGCUAAAAACCUUCUCAGAUGGUUGGGCACCCAAACGAUCUUGAAGAGAGGCUACCUCAGGUGGAAUAAUAGCCGGCUUUUCUGGAACAAUAUUUUCCCAAAUCGAAGCCAUAGGCUGCAAAUCGGAAAGCUUAUUGAUCGCAGUAGACGCAGGUUCCCGUGAAGGAAAUUGUGAAGCACCAUUAAGUCUACUAACUUGAGGUAACUCUGAAGAAGCUGGUUUGACAGGUUUAGCGAAAAUAUUUUGUUGAUUAAUUUGGUACUGCUCAUCUUCCAAUUGUGCAGAUGCUUGAGCGGUAGUACCUGAAAAAUCAAAAUCACGUCCUAGAAUUGUGAGAAAAAAUAUUAAAAUAUUAAAUACUAAUAGCUUGCAAUAUCCCAGAUAUGACAGCCGAGAAUGAUUACAGAAUCACAAGCACAAAGGUACAUACCUAUACUUCCAGCGCUAACACCAAAAGUCUCGUCGUUUAGUUCAUCUCCGGCUUCAUUUAAUUGAUUACCCAAAUCGUCGUAGGUCUCCUCAAAGUCAAUGCUAAAUAUACUUGUGAGCUUAAAGUAUCAUAUUUACAUUAAUAUUAACGACUUACCCAUCCUCUUCUAACUGCCCUUCGUUAGGAAACAUAUUUUCCUUUGGAAGGGUAGUAUUAAACCCAAAAAAUGACAUUUUAUGGGUUUAUGGUAAUGAGAAGUUGGUGGUAGCUAGGUGGGCGGCACUGCAUACAACAAUACUCAUGACAGUAGAUUGGGUUGGUUCGACGCAGACUGAUUCAUGGCGUUUUAUAUAUAUUUUUACUUUGCGUUCUUUUUUUAUAUCUGAAUUUUAAAGUUGUUAUUUGGUUUGCUAUACCAGUAAAUCUAUCCCUAUUUUAUUUCACAUCAAUCUUCAAGACUAGCUAUUA